UGCGGUGUAACUCAAUAGGUAGAGUAAUACAUUAACAUUGUUGGUCGUGCUCGGUACGGCAUGAUGUUGACGCCUGACGAGAGUGCCGGUUCGAGUCCGGCAGCCGCAA
Molecule: transfer RNA, 109 nt
Filed under: Klebsiella pneumoniae
Lineage: Bacteria; Pseudomonadati; Pseudomonadota; Gammaproteobacteria; Enterobacterales; Enterobacteriaceae
Description: tRNA-Leu
Rfam family: tRNA
About the family: Transfer RNA (tRNA) molecules are approximately 80 nucleotides in length.
Source: RNAcentral